Non-coding RNA from Punica granatum (pomegranate), 2043 nucleotides. The record is from RefSeq and is a predicted model, not a curated record. Lineage: Eukaryota; Viridiplantae; Streptophyta; Magnoliopsida; Myrtales; Lythraceae.
GCUAACAGUGCAAAGGGCGCUAGCAGUGUUUGAAUACAUCUUCUCUCUUCCUAAUUCGAGGAGGCAGAGCAAAAAGUAAGUGUGCUAGUAACAUCAGUGUGCUUCAAAAAUCCUCUCAUCUCCCAUAUACCUUUAUGAUCUCAAAAUGGUUUAAUAUUGUGAGGAAUACUAGUAAGUCCUCUUGAGUGAGUAAGGCAAUUGUGACCUAGAAGAACCUCCAACGCCGGUGACGAGCUUGAGGAAGAAGUGAAACCUUAGUGGACCCUGAAGCUUCAAACCAAGGCAGCUUGAUUAUGGGAGCUUCUUAGUUGGUAACGCCUGGGAGAAUAUUCUUGAGUCUUGCAAAGAGGGAUAGAGGGUGCAGCUCGGCUGAUGGUCCCCAGUCGGCGACUUCCCUAUAGAUGAGGCUGCCGGAGGCCAGAGAGAGACCAAGGGAGGCAGCUAGGGUGGGGUCUCCCUGACCAGCAACCUUCCCCCAUGCAAGGUCGGCCGCCCUCACAACCGAAUUGCCCCCAAUCGAAAAGAAAAACUUUUUUUUUAAAAGAAAAAAAAUUCUUUUUAAGUUUUUGAAAGGGUAUUUAAUAAAAAUGGCUAAACCGCGUUGUUUUUAAAAUUUAAAUUAAUUUUUUUACGGAUUAAGUUAACAUCGUUACUCACCACGUUAGUAUUUUCAUGAUGAUCAUUUGACUAAAGACUAUUUUUCCGUUGGAAUGAACAUCCAGGAAACAUUCUGAUGGCAAAAAUUUUUCAAGUGAUGGACGGUGAAAUUUCCGAGGACCAAAUUGAUAGUUAACUCAUCAAAAGAUAAAGUCGUUCUGCAUUUUGGUCUUAAAAAUGGUUUUCUUACCGCCGUAAGCUUUACGUCUACUUCCGCAUGAAGGGAAUUAGCAGUUGACGUGCCAAUUACCCGCUUAGGACCGAAAUGACAGUGUUUACUCUGAAAUAAAAUUGAGUUUGUCAAUUACCUUUGUCUCUCUUAAAAUUUAUCCACCUUCCCAAUCCCAAUUGCACCUGCCCUCUCUAUGGGCCUAACGUAACGUGCAUAUGAUUUAUAAUUAAAUAAAUCUUAAAUGUUUAUCUUUACGAUAAUACUAUUCCUUUUAUAUGUAGUAUUAGAUGAAAUGAUAUAUUGUCUUGAACGUCAAUUUUAUUUAAUUAAUUAUAUCAUUUUUCACAUUUAAAUUAAUAAUAUUUUAUUAUUAUCUAUAUAUCUAUAAUAUCAAUUUAAGUACCAUUUAUUUUAAAAUAAUAUAUUGUUUUUUAAAUGUGUCAUAAUUAUAAUGUAGAACUAUAUAUUGUCUUUGCACUUUCAAUGUUAUUAACAUUCCUAUAACUUUUGUGAAUGCAAUUUGACCUUAUAUCCUUACAAAGUUCCGUGCAACAGUAUGGGGGUAUCAACUAGGAAUUGCUUGUACCUCCAUCCCUAUCAACAUGGAGAAAAUAUUAAGUGAGACUACCACACCAAGGUGAAAGAUGUAAGUCUGAUCAAAUGUCAAGAAUUUUUUUUUUUAAAAAAAAGGAAUAAGUGUUAUGAGUUCCACAUGAUGAUGUAUCAAUUCUAAAUGGAGAGUUACAUGAUACAGUGCAUAUGUCAGUCUCACCUAUUAUUUCUCAGCUACUAAGCCCGUAAGCGCCCUUGUAAUAGAAAAAGGAACAAAAAAAAAAGACAAAAUAGAAAAGGUAAAGGGAAAUUAAAUUGUAUGAAAGAUUAUAUAUUUCGAGAUGUCCCUUAUAUUGAUUGAGUAAUUUUUAAUUUUUUAAGAAAGAUAAUCAAUAAGUAGUUAUUAAUAUGUGCUGAUAAUAUGGACUAAAUUAGGACGACUCGAUGAACUUAAACCAAAUGAGAAAUAUCGAUAAAAUUCGUUUAAUCUUAGAAAGAUAGAACUUAAGGGACUCUCGAUGUGUCAUUAAGGGUUUCAUAAUGAAGCUUAAAUAGCACACCCAUAUACCGCUGGUCAGUUUUUAUAUAUUAUAACAGAUGGAUGAGAUUAAAAAAAAUAAAAAAAAAAAAGUAGUCUGUCACGCAAUUAAAUAUCAAUGAAG